Long non-coding RNA from Globicephala melas (long-finned pilot whale), 4411 nucleotides. RefSeq lists it as uncharacterized. The record is from RefSeq and is a predicted model, not a curated record. Lineage: Eukaryota; Metazoa; Chordata; Mammalia; Artiodactyla; Delphinidae.
CCACACCCUUCCCUUGGGGAGGCCGCGCCCUAUGCACGUGGCCACACGCUUCCGCUUAAAGAGAGCGUCUCCGCGCCGGGGGGCGGAGAAGCGGGACCCUCACAGCUUUGUAAUUGGAAGGCCACCGUAAUCUGUUCUGAACUUGCAUGAAAAUGGAAGAAACACCUGAUAUUACGCCUCUCCACGCUUCAGUUUCUUCAGCAGUACUCCAGAGACGAUGAUCUGUAAGUGGAAAAAACUGAAAUCUCUACAGCCAGUGUAAGCCUGCCAACCUUUGCCUCCAUUGAGUGCCCAGGAGAAUCAAAUGGAUCUGAUCCAGGCUUACAGUCAUAUCUUGAUUCAUCAUCUCUUCUCUUUCAAGAAAUAGUUUCCUACUACUAUUUAAGCAAAUCUUUGCAGAUUCGUGCUGGGUUAUCUCGUGUGCCAAGAGGAUUCUUGAUGCUGUGCAGUAAAUUGCUAAGCUCUGUGGUAGCCUUGAAAACCAACAGCCUGCAAUCGCAGUGAAAACAAGAAGCCUGGAAACCACAGGAGGGAGCAGAAUGGGGCUGGAGUUGCUUCAAAGCCUUAUUUCCAGCGAAAUGUCAUUAUUUGACCUUUCUGGUGGUUCCCUUAAAGACUUGCAGGACUGUCUUUAUUUUACCUGACUCAGAGCUCACUCAGUGCAAAAAGUCUUUCCCAAGGAACAUUAAAAAAAAAAUUUAGAUGGAAUUGUUUAACUUUGUGGCUACUGGAAACAUUAGAAAACAGUCGGGGCAAACAAUAGGCUAAGAAAAGCUAGGGAAUGAGAUGUCCAUAGGGAUUCUAAAAAACUCUGACAUAUUCCUGGGAAUCUAGAAGUCCAUGUACAUGCAUAGGGCUGUGCACAUGAUCAGGAAAAACAUAAGAAGGCCCUAAGUUCUGUCUUCUGGCUGACCUUCAGGCUCUGUGAAAAUAGGAAAUUAAAACUCGGGUAUAGUUGUCAGUUGCCUGGCUGAGCACUGAAGGAAUGCUCCAACAUGCUCACAGAGACCCUUGGCAAAAACUGGGAGACUUCCUGGUUCUGGCAUUUAAGGAAGUCUCUCUCCAAUCCUUAGCUGACCACUAAGCUAACUGAGUAGAGACUUCAGUGGUCACAUAUGUCAAGGAAUACAGACUUUAUACCUUUAGGAAAAGUCACUAAACAAACAACAAAAACAACAAGUAGCAACAAUAAACACUGAGGCUGGGGUGAAGAAUUUGACUUCCAGAGAUGCCAUUUUAUAUUAUUCAAAAUGUCCAGUUUUCAAGAAAAAAAUGACAAGACAUGCUGAGUAACAUUAAAGUAUGACCCCUAUACAUGGGAAAAAGCCAAGCAAUCAAUAGAAAUAGAAAUUGUCCCUGAGAAAGCCCAGAUGUUGAACUUAGUAGACAAAACUUUAGCUAUUUUAGGUAUGUUCAAAGAACUAAAGUAAACCAUGUCUACAGAACUAAAGGAAAGUAUGAAAAAGAUGUCUUACCAAAUAAAAAAUAGAAAUUAUAGAAAAGAACCAAGUAGAAGAAGUUUUGUAGUUGAAUAAUAACUGAAAUCAAAAUUUACUACAGAGGCUCAACUGUAGAUUUCAGUAGAUAGAAGAAAGAAUCAGUGAACCUGAAAACAGUUUAUUGAGAUUAUCCAGUCAGAGUCAUAUAAAGAAAAAUGAAGCAGAAAAUGAACAGGCUCAGAGAUGUACAGGACAUCAUAAAACAUACCAAUGCAUGCAUGAUGGGAGUCUCAGAAGAGAAGAAGAGAGAAAUAGGGGUAGAAAGAAUAUUUCAAAAAAUAAUGGCUGAAAAUGUGCCAAAUUUGAUGAAAAACAUUAAUCUCCACAUCCAAGAAGCUCAAUGAAUUCCCCUAGACACAUCAUAAUCAAACUGUUGAAAGCUAAAGACAAAGAGAGAAUCCUGAAUGCGAAGAGAAGAGUGAAUCCUGAAUGCAAAGAGAAGAGACUCAUCAUAUCCAAAGGAUGAGAUUUUUCAUCAAAAACCAUAAAGCCCUCUUGGGUGCUGACUGGAUCUGGUGGUAUAUAUCUAAAGUGACUUGACAGUCCUCCUGUUCUGGCACCAGUGAAGAAGGCUCACACCUCCUCUCCUGAUGCCUGAGAAGGCAAAUAUUCAACUUCACACAGUGAUUUGGAAAGAAUGUGACUGACAGAUUCUUAAGCAUGUUUAGGGCUUAUCAGGUUUCACUGCAAUAUACCAUAUAGGUUAGUUCUACAUAUAGGUUAGUUUUCUUCCUGAAAACUGUAAUUUUAUUUUCAUUCCACAAGUAUAAGGGACAUAAUAAUGAAAAAAUCAAAAAAGGUCCUUGCUUUCAUAGAGCUUAUAACCUAGUGACCAGUGAUACUAUUACCACAAAUUUAGUUAAACUUACAGUUUCGCCUCUAAAGCCUUUUUCACCUCUGGGUCCCUGAAAGAAAAAUAAAAUGUUAGUUUAGUGUUGUUGAUAGUUAUUUAUCAAAUGUAGUUGAGGCUGUAUCCAGAAACAUGAUAAUUUCUGUUGGGUUUUUUCCUAUCUAGCAAGACCUGUUUAGUUAAAGUUAUAUAAAUUCUGAUUUCCUAAGUUAAAGCAAAACAAAUACAAUCUACUGACUCACCAUGUCUGUUUUGCUAUGCCUAGUUCCACCUUAAAGUGAGGGUUAUGCUACUUAUUCAUUCAGUUAAGUCAAAACAGCUGAUCUGACAAUCAAAGGCAAAAUAAUUUAGAAAGAAAAUUAAGAAAGUUAAAUUCUUCUAAUAUUUGUUUCUCUCAGCCUUUGAAAAACCCUGCUUCCAGGGUGGUUUCCUCCUUCUCUUUUAUCUUCUUUUUUUCUUUCUUUUCUUCUUUUUUAUCUUCUUUUUAUCUUCUUUCUUUUUUUAUAGCUCCUUCUGAGCUAUAUCCCAUAAAUUUUGAUACGUUGUGUAUACAGUUUCAGUCGAUUCAAAAUAUUUUCUAACUUUCUUUGAGACACUCUGGUCCUUGAAUUAUUUAGAAGUGUGAGGUUUAAUUUUCAAGUGUUUGGGGAUUUUCCUAUUAUCUUUCUAGUUUAUUGAUUCUUAGUUUAAUUCUGUUAUGGCCAGAGAAUAUACCUUACAUGACUUCUGUUAUUUUAAGUUUAGUAAAAUUUGUUUUAUGAUCUAAAAUAUGGUUUAUUUCAGUGAAUGUUCCAUGUGCACUUGAAGACAAUGUGAACUCUGCUGUUGCUGGAUGUCACUACUGUUAUUCCUGUUAAUAUUUUCAUGUUCCUUGUGGAAAUUGUGUAUUUUUUUAUUAAAAAAUGAGAUAAUACUACUCAUCUUUUCUGUAACCUGAAUUUGCACCAAAAUAUUAAUGCUUUUCUAUAUCAAUCUACAAUUCCCACCUAACCAUAAUGCUUACCAGUAUUUUAAAAAGUAUGAUAUUUUAAAUGAAUUGCCUAUUAAAUUUUUUUCUAAUUUUUGUCAUGAUAAACAGCACUGUGAUAAAUAUCCUUGCACUCUUAAAAAUUUUUGAUAAAAAUUGUCCUCCAGAAAGUUUGUUUGAAAUUGCAUUCACACUUGCAAUAUAUGGGAAUGCAUGUUUCUUCUGAUACAUGCUAUGAUGUACUAUCACUUUUUGUUAAUCUUGCAGGCUAAAAAUACUGUUUCAUUAUUAUUCACUAUAUUACUUCUUUUGUGUUUCCUAUCUUGUCCUUAAUUCAUUUCAAACUACUAUAUCAACUUUAAAAAGCUGAUUUUUAAGAUAUCUUUACAGAACUUUUUUUAUGCCCUCCUCCACCUCCAAUCCAGUAUUAACAACGUGGUACAUAUCGCUUCAUACUUUUUUUCUAAUCAGAUAUUGACACGUGUAUUUACAUGUGUAUGGGGUGAUUGGUCAUGUUUUAUAAUGUUGAUAUUAUAUACUCUUCUAUGCAUCACAUUUUUCAUGCUUAAUAAUACAUCAUGAAACAACUGCAAGUCAGCCAAACUAGAUACAAAUAAUUAUUUUUAAUAGUUGCAUUAAUAUUCCACAAAGUGGAUAGAUCAGAGUUUACUCAACCAUUCCUCUACAGAUGAGCAUUCAUGUGAUUUCAUACUUUUUUUUUUUUUUUGCCAUUACAAACAGUGCUGUGAAAAAAAGCUUUGUAAAAUUUCCCUAGUGUAUUGGGUACUUUUAUUUAUAUGGGACAAAUUCCUCACAGUGGAACUGCUUGGUCAUAGGGUAUAUGUACAUAUAUUUUAACAAAUACCUUUCCAUAAAGGCUGUAAUUCAGAUUUCUAUUAGUGAUAAACAAAAAUACCUUUCUUCCUACAGCCCUUUCUGAGAGGUUAGAUGUAAUAUCUCAUUAUUACCUUAAUUUGCAUUUCUCUGACUAAAAGUUAGAAGACUGGUUUUUCAAAUAAUUACUGACCUUUUGGAUUUAUUCUUCAAUUCUCUACUAAAUUUUCUUUUUCAUACCAAUUUGUAAAGCUCUUUAUA